UUAAGCGUUUUCUGAUCAUGUAGGUAAGUGCUUUGAUUACCUUUAGACGUGAUGCAUGCUGGGAGGCAAAUAUUUUUUUAUCAAAGGCUCGUUGAUGGUAAUAAAUAUACAUAUAAAUAUACAUUUUACUAUACUACGAUUGUGUUCGAUUAAUUAAUGGGUUGUUUAAUUAUUAAUUUGUUUAUUUUAAAUCCUGUAAUUUAACAACUCUGACGUCAUCGAAUGCGACGAUGCCAAGGUCCAUUGCGAUUUCCACUCGAAUUCGCCUUUCAAAGCCUACAGCGAACGGACGGUUUGGACUUCAGCCCUCUACUUCCUGCUUUAAUGAUGUCACUAGAACAGUUUUUUGACUAAACUCCACCCACAGGAAUACAUCAGUGGCCAGCUAAGCUAACGGAUACUGUUUUCUACCGGCUGGUUAUUGAAACGGAGGUCUUGUACAAAGAAGGGAAAUACGUCAAAUCACUAACGUCCACAUUCAAAAAUAAGGUGCGAGCCAAGCCAAUUUUAUUUAUUGGGAAACAGGAUAAAAAGGCUUCGAAUAAGUGGGUUGCAUAUAUUAUUACCCAUUGGCACCCCACUCCUGUCACUACAAUUUUUUGGAGGAGAUGCGGAGGGCUUUAUCUUGACAAAAGGUCAGAGUAAUGUUUAUGUUUAGAGAUUUAGGAUUUAAAAUACAUGUAUAUUCCUUUGUUGAUAUGUACAGAUUUUAUGAUGAAAGUAAACUUGUAUUAUAGCAACCUCCACAGGACAGCAGCCUGAGAGCCUUGCCAAUGGAGCGGCCUGAGAGCCCUGCUGUGAAAUGGCCGGAGAACCUCACCAAGAAGUCUGAGGCUAUAUUUGUACUAAAUCUUGUUCUUCUGUCUUCUAGACUCUCUCCAACCUCUCUUGCUCCUACUACCUCUACUGCUUUUACAACAAUUUUCUCUCCACUUUUUUUCCCCACCUUCACUGCCAUGCUCUAAGUUUUUGCCACAGAGGAAGAGGAAGAUAAAGAAAUCUACCUCUUCCCACUAUACCACACUUGUCUCUCUUCAAUUUGCAUCUGUCUCUUCCAGUUCUAAAUCUCAGAAGUGGCCACUGGUGAAGAACAGAAUAAAGGAUAACUUUUCCUGUUACAUCUUACUCCACAAUUUGCUCCUAGUCAAAUAUGUCUUCAUGUUAAUUAAAUUCAUUUAGCUAACCAGGUAUUUGUUAGCCAGUUCACAGUGUUUUAGAGCCCAAUGUCCAAGGACUGUGGUCAAUGUAAAUUCCUGACUUAAAGGGACACUUCACUUUUUUUUGCUAAUUUUCCAGCAGUAAGUUUUACCGUUUUAGAAUCCAUUCAGCUGAUCUCCGCGUCUGGCACUACCACUUUUAGCAUAGCUUAGCAUAAUACAUUGAAUCUGAUUAGGCCAUUAGCAUCGCGCCAAAAAAUAACCAAAGAGUUUCGAUAUUUUUCCUAUUUAAAACUUCUUCUGUAGUUACAUCGUGUACUAAGACAGACGGAAAAUUUAAAGUUGUGAUUUUCUCAGCUGAUAUUUCUAGGAACUAUACUCUUAUUCUGUCGUAAUAAUCAAGGACUUUGCUGUCGUAACAUGGCUGCAGAAGGCAUAAUGAUAUAACGCAGUGCCCGAAAAUAGUCCCCUUAGUAUCUUUCAAUAGCAGGGGCAAUUUUCGGGCACUGCGUAAUAUCAUUUUGGUUGAUUGACAAAAACAAGCACAAAUUUGUUUGACACUAAUGGAAAGGACUGCAUAUCACUUCACAUAAAUAUGGACUCAUGUGAUUCACCUACAAAGCAUGGCAUUCAUGGCUUAAUAAACUUUUUGUCUUUUCAUCAUUUCAGGUUGCUGAAAAUGUAGUUGGCAGAAGGUUUCCUUUUCGAUAAAAUAACUGGGGAACAGAUAAAUGAGAGGAAAGCCGAAUUGAAAGUUCACUGGUUACGUGCUCUGUGUGUGGAAAAACUUGGGAUGACUCAUAGGAGCCUGCCAGCGAAUUCCAACACAAGUCCCCACAUCCCAACCAGUUUUCAGCAUGACAGCCUACACCUUUACAUUAUCAAGCACCCUUCAACUGUUUAAUUUUGAGUGUCUUUGCUUGCUGUUCUUUAUUAAAGUUUUUGCACAGUA
This is a non-coding RNA of Paramisgurnus dabryanus, 2109 nucleotides long. The record is from RefSeq and is a predicted model, not a curated record. NCBI's taxonomy places the organism in Eukaryota, Metazoa, Chordata, Actinopteri, Cypriniformes, Cobitidae.